This 666-nucleotide small RNA is filed under the name Hypodaphnis zenkeri. RNAcentral's name for it is "eukaryotic LSU rRNA". The stretch from base 244 to 399 matches the Rfam family "5.8S ribosomal RNA". The record is from RNAcentral. Lineage: Eukaryota; Viridiplantae; Streptophyta; Magnoliopsida; Laurales; Lauraceae.
AGUCGUAACAAGGUUUUCCGUAGGUGAACCUGCGGAAGGAUCAUUGACGCGGACCCGAGCCACCGGCGCACCCGUCGCGAACCCCCCCUCCCACGAACGGCCGGCUCGCGGGGCGCGCCCCCGAGCGGCCGAACAACACCCCCGGGCGCCGCGCGCGCCAAGGAUGCGGGAACACGAAGGGGCGGCGGCGGCAGUCCCCGCGGGGACGCGGCCGCCGCCCCCCGGAACGGAAAAGCAGCGUACGACUCUCGGCAACGGAUAUCUCGGCUCCUGCAUCGAUGAAGAACGUAGCGAAAUGCGAUACGUGGUGUGAAUUGCAGAAUCCCGUGAACCAUCGAGCCUUUGAACGCAAGUUGCGCCCGAGGCCGCUCGGCCGAGGGCACGCCUGCCUGGGCGUCACCCCACCCAUCGCUCACCCCCUCCACGCGCGGCGUGGCGCGGGGAGCGGGAGACUGGCCGACCCCGCCCCGCGUGCCGGGGCGCGGCGGGCCGAAAAGGCGGUGUCGAAAGAUCGCGGCGCGUGGCGCGACUCGUGGUGGUCCGGAGGCCGGCGCCGUCGCCGCCCGCCCCGCGCUUGGACCUCGCCGCCCGGGGGGGACUCGGCCCCCCCGCGCGCGUUUCGCGGAAGGCGACCCCAGGUCAGGCGGGAGCACCCGCUGAGUUUAA